GGGGGCGAACUGGUUUCGACGGGGAUCAUGAAGCGUUGGCUGCAUACCGAGCUUUCCGUCAACUCGUUAAAAGGGUGGAAAUAAAUAUAAUCGCAGACGAUUAUAACUACGCCUUGGCCGCUUAAGGCCAACGUUCUUUCGGGCUUCGCCCACGGGCCUGGAAUGAACGCGGACAGUGGGAUAGCUUUUCCGGGGGCCUGUUGACGGAAAAGUGAAAUCAAGACAGGAUAGCCUUCAAGGAGUUUAGCCUGGAUGACUCCGCGAAGGCGAACAACGACAACCGGGAUAUGUAUGUAGACGCCACCGUGGAUUAUUUUCGGACGCGGGUUCGAUUCCCGCCGCCUCCACCA
This 350-nucleotide transfer-messenger RNA is filed under the name Deltaproteobacteria bacterium. It matches the Rfam family "transfer-messenger RNA". Rfam says of the family: Bacterial tmRNA, also known as 10Sa RNA or SsrA, is named for its dual tRNA and mRNA-like properties. Its role is to liberate the mRNA from a stalled ribosome. RNAcentral also lists the same sequence under 1 other name. The record is from RNAcentral. Lineage: Bacteria; Pseudomonadati; Myxococcota; Myxococcia.